AAUCUUCCGCAAUGGACGCAAGUCUGACGGAGCAACGCCGCGUGAGUGAUGAAGGUUNNNGGAUCNUNAAACUCUGUUGUUAGNGANNAACAAGUACCGUUCGCAUAGGUCGGUACCUUGACGGUACCUAACCAGAAAGCCACGGCUAACUACGUUCCAGCAGCCGCGGUAAUACGUAGGGGGCAAGCGUUAUCCGGAAUUAUUGGGCGUAAAGCGCGCUCAGGGUGUUUCUUAAGUCUGAUGUGAAAGCCCACGGCUCAACCGUGGAGGGUCAUUGGAAACUGGGGAACUUGAGUGCAGAAGAGGAGAGUGGAAUUCCAUGUGUAGCGGUGAAAUGCGUAGAGAUAUGGAGGAACACCAGUGGCGAAGGCGACUCUCUGGUCUGCAACUGACGCUGAGGCGCGAAAGCGUGGGGAGCAAACA
This 423-nucleotide ribosomal RNA is filed under the name uncultured bacterium. RNAcentral's name for it is "partial 16S ribosomal RNA". It matches the Rfam family "Bacterial small subunit ribosomal RNA", at positions 360 to 774 of the family's 1533-position model. The record is from RNAcentral.